GAUCCUGGCUCGAGGAUGAACGCUAGCGGCAGGCCUAAUACAUGCAAGUCGAGGGCAGCGCGGUAGCAAUACUGGCGGCGACCGGCGCACGGGUGCGUAACACGUAUACAAUCUACCUUAAACAGGGGGAUAGCCUUUCGAAAGAGAGAUUAAUACCCCGUAAUAAAUUGAACGGCAUUCGUUUGAUUUUGAAAGCUCCGGCGGUUUGAGAUGAGUAUGCGUCUGAUUAGCUAGUUGGUGAGGUAACGGCUCACCAAGGCGACGAUCAGUAGGGGAUCUGAGAGGACUAACCCCCCACACUGGUACUGAGACACGGACCAGACUCCUACGGGAGGCAGCAGUAAGGAAUAUUGGUCAAUGGAGGCAACUCUGAACCAGCCAUGCCGCGUGCAGGAUGACGGCCCUAUGGGUUGUAAACUGCUUUUAUACAAGAGAAAACCCUGGUACGUGUACCAGGUUGAUAGUAUUGUAAGAAUAAGCAUCGGCUAACUUCGUG
RNAcentral lists this ribosomal RNA (496 nucleotides) under uncultured bacterium. RNAcentral's name for it is "bacterial SSU rRNA". It matches the Rfam family "Bacterial small subunit ribosomal RNA", at positions 15 to 507 of the family's 1533-position model. The record is from RNAcentral.